Molecule: ribosomal RNA, 500 nt
Filed under: uncultured bacterium
Lineage: Bacteria
Description: partial 16S ribosomal RNA
Rfam family: Bacterial small subunit ribosomal RNA
Source: RNAcentral
AUUGAACGCUGGCGGCAUGCCUUACACAUGCAAGUCGAACGGCAGCACGGGAGCAAUCCUGGUGGCGAGUGGCGAACGGGUGAGUAGAGUAUCGGAACGUACCAUUGAGUGGGGGAUAACGUAGCGAAAGUUACGCUAAUACCGCAUAUACCCUGAGGGGGAAAGCAGGGGAUCGCAAGACCUUGUGCUCUUUGAGCGGCCGAUAUCAGAUUAGCUAGUUGGUGAGGUAAAGGCUCACCAAGGCGACGAUCUGUAGCGGGUCUGAGAGGAUGAUCCGCCACACUGGAACUGAGACACGGUCCAGACUCCUACGGGAGGCAGCAGUGGGGAAUUUUGGACAAUGGGGGCAACCCUGAUCCAGCCAUGCCGCGUGAGUGAAGAAGGCCUUCGGGUUGUAAAGCUCUUUCGGCCGGGAGGAAAUCGCAUCAGCUAAUACCUGGUGUGGAUGACAGUACCGGAAUAAGAAGCACCGGCUAACUACGUGCCAGCAGCCGCCGUAA